UACGUAGGCAGCGAGCGUUGUUCGGAGUUACUGGGCGUAAAGGGUGUGUAGGCGGUUCUUUAAGUUUGGUGUGAAAUCUCCCGGCUCAACCGGGAGGGUGCGCCGAAUACUGAGGGACUAGAGUGCGGGAGAGGAAGGUGGAAUUCCUGGUGUAGCGGUGAAAUGCGUAGAUAUCAGGAGGAACACCGGUGGUGUAGACGGCUUUCUGGACCGUAACUGACGCUGAGACACGAAAGCGUGGGUAGCAAACAGG
RNAcentral lists this ribosomal RNA (253 nucleotides) under uncultured bacterium. RNAcentral's name for it is "partial 16S ribosomal RNA". It matches the Rfam family "Bacterial small subunit ribosomal RNA", at positions 524 to 776 of the family's 1533-position model. The record is from RNAcentral.